This 254-nucleotide ribosomal RNA is filed under the name uncultured bacterium. RNAcentral describes it as "partial 16S ribosomal RNA". It matches the Rfam family "Bacterial small subunit ribosomal RNA", at positions 524 to 776 of the family's 1533-position model. The record is from RNAcentral.
UACGUAGGGGCCAAGCGUUGUCCGGAUUUAUUGGGCGUAAAGAGCUCGUAGGCGGUUCGGUAAGUCGGAUGUGAAAUCUCCACGCUCAACGUGGAGGGGCCAUUCGAUACUGCCGUGACUCGAGUCCGGUAGGGGAGUGUGGAAUUCCCGGUGUAGCGGUGAAAUGCGCAGAGAUCGGGAGGAACACCCGUAGCGAAGGCGGCACUCUGGGCCGGUACUGACGCUGAGGAGCGAAAGCGUGGGGAGCAAACAGG